Molecule: unclassified non-coding RNA, 217 nt
Filed under: soil metagenome
Description: partial internal transcribed spacer 1
Source: RNAcentral
ACCUUUCAAAUCAGGGUGCGGCGCGGCCCCCGAGGAGCGGAAACAAUCCUUGGGAGGUAUGCGGGGGGCUUCGAGCCCCCCAUUUACGCACGCACGACUGCCCAUCCUUACUUUACGAGCACCUUCUGUUCUACCCUCGGCGGGGCAACCUGCCGUUGGAACCGAAUAAACUCUUUUUGGCAUCUAGCAUUACCCGUUCCGAAACAAACAAUCGUUA